Molecule: ribosomal RNA, 468 nt
Filed under: uncultured bacterium
Lineage: Bacteria
Description: partial 16S ribosomal RNA
Rfam family: Bacterial small subunit ribosomal RNA
Source: RNAcentral
GACGAACGCUGGCGGCGUGCUUAACACAUGCAAGUCGAACGGAAAGGCCCUGCUUUUGUGGGGUGCUCGAGUGGCGAACGGGUGAGUAACACGUGAGUAACCUGCCCUUGACUUUGGGAUAACUUCAGGAAACUGGGGCUAAUACCGGAUAGGAGCUCCUGCUGCAUGGUGGGGGUUGGAAAGUUUCGGCGGUUGGGGAUGGACUCGCGGCUUAUCAGCUUGUUGGUGGGGUAGUGGCUUACCAAGGCUUUGACGGGUAGCCGGCCUGAGAGGGUGACCGGCCACGUUGGGACUGGGCUACGGCCCAGACUCCUACGGGAGGCAGCAGUGGGGAAUAUUGCACAAUGGGCGGAAGCCUGAUGCGGCAACGCCGCGUGCGGGAUGACGGCCUUCGGGUUGUAAACCGCUUUCGCCUGUGACAAAGCGUGAGUGACGGUAAUGGGUAAAGAAGCACCGGCUAACUACGUG